Molecule: long non-coding RNA, 1617 nt
Organism: Sorghum bicolor (sorghum)
Lineage: Eukaryota; Viridiplantae; Streptophyta; Magnoliopsida; Poales; Poaceae
Exons: 2
Source: RefSeq, a predicted model, not a curated record
AAUGACGAAGCCCCGCGGCAGCGAAGCCGGCAGUGCGCCGGCGCGUCCCUUCCCCCGAUCCAACUUGUGUCUUCAUCGCUGUGUGAUGCCAAAUUAGGAGCACCACCAGGUUUAUGUUAAGAGCACGUUUUUUAUUCACUCCAUCUGCGAGCCUCAAGUAAGCCCUUCAUUGACCAGCUAUUUCUACUGUUUAUUUGCUUUUCCAUAGUCAUGAUACUAUGGUUCUAUAAUGUUGUACAGUCUCAGUGUCAGAUAAAUGAACAAGAUUUUGAAAUUAUGAUCUAGCUAUUUCAGUGUGCCUAACUUGAACUAUGCUUCAUAAAUGAAACAAACGGAUGCUUUGCCUGUGAAUUAGCAGAUGCUGCUAUCUGUUGUCCGCUUCUAGAUGAACAUUACAUAUUGCCUUGAUGGUUCUUUCUGAAAAUAGGGUGUAGACAUUAAUUGAGAAACUUCUUAUUGGACGGCCUAGAGACAUUUAGAUUAAUACUCUCUCAAAACAUAAAAUAUAACCGUAUGCAUCUUCUCUAUUGUUACCUUCAGGUUGCUCAUGUUAUGCUUUUUCAUUCCAGUAGUAGUAGGAUGGUAGCUCCUGGCAGUGUCUUUAGUUCACUACCAUUGUUAGAUAAAUCAAAAUGCCUAACAAAAGUAUAUAUUUAGUGAACAGAUUUCUCCCUGCACUUUUCUAUUUACAUCUGUGCAUUGCAGAGAGAUUAGUAUGGAGGAGGACGACAACUCCGCCCGAGCCCGUGCCCACGACCGCCCAAGCUGCCAUAGCUCAACACUGCCUUUGCACAUGGAUUCGGCCAUGCCCACCCUGCCCUGAUCUAGCUGCCCGUUUAAUUUUGCCACUGAGGAACUGGCGCCCAUGGAGGUACGCCCCUUCCAGUGGUGGGAGGACAAGCUGGGAGCAGAUUGCGGAGGUGGUGGCGGAGGUGGUUGAGGACGACAACGACAAGCCGCCCUGGCUCUGCCUGCCCUAGCUGAAAUAGCUCUGCAACCAGCUUUGAAACAACAGCUAUUGCAGGAGCAUCCGCAACCUAACUCCAUCAAUUCCCAUAUUACAUAAUUGAUAUUGGUUUGUAAUUUUGCCAUUUGUAGCGCCAAAAGAAAUUAACACAUUGUACGACUGUAUUGUGUACCAUCGUAGAUCGUCACUGGAUAAUUUGCAUGACUGUCAUAUACAUGAGACAAAAAAAAUACAUAACAUGUAAUUGGUCUUCGCAGGCUGCAAACUACCUAGACCUGCCUGAGUGUCACGGAGAUGAUGAAGGGGGAGACUUUAGAGGACAUUCCCAAAAAGUUCAACAUCAAGAACGACUUCACGACUGAGGAAGAGGAGGAAGUGAUGAGGGAGUAAUAGUGGGCCUUUCGAUAACAACAACAAUAUCCUAUAACCAGGCCAGAGGGGAGGUGCUUGUUCAUGAUAUUGAGUUAUGUUUGUUUUGUUGGUCGUGAGCAGACUAUUUUGCUACUUCGAUGUAAUUUUUCAACCAAAUUUCACAGCAUUGCUUAAGAAAAAGAUGUGGACGAUAAAUAGUGUGCUGGGUUGUUUCAUGUGAGCUAUCUUCUUUGAGUAAAAUUCACCGGGUGUCUGUUUUGACACACAAAUUAUGGCCA